RNAcentral lists this long non-coding RNA (1179 nucleotides) under Panax ginseng (ginseng). Its description in RNAcentral is "long non-coding RNA (PGIN_LNC013586)". The record is from RNAcentral. Lineage: Eukaryota; Viridiplantae; Streptophyta; Magnoliopsida; Apiales; Araliaceae.
GGCGCUCUGUAUAUUGUUUGAUGUUGGGGUUUAGAGAGAUUUUAUAUAAAGCCGCCACUCCUCUUCUUCUUUCCUUCAUCAUCCAUCAAUCUCAUACCCUCCUUUUCCUUUCUCUCCUGUUUUCCUUUCCAUUUACCAAACAUUGCAUUGCAUUGCAUUUUCUCUCUCCAAAUUCCAUUCCCACCUUCUUUCUUUCUCUCUCCCUACUUUCUGUGCUGCUUACUUCUCCUUAGUCACAUCUACUGGUGUGAGCAGAGCAAGUUUGGUUGAGUUAUAAAAGGCUUCUUCGUGGGUUACAGAAGUCUCACUGUGUAGAACAAGAAAUACCCAUUUUGUAGAUUAUAACAAGGUAACACCAUUAUUUGUGAAAAACUCACUUCAAUUUUGCUAUAUUUAUGUUUGUAUCUGUAAUUUACAAGUUGGGUUAUGGAAAAAGAUGAAAUCUUUACAGUUUUGGACAUUUUUUCUGAUAUGGGUAUUAAUUAAUUAUCAUCAGCAGGGAAUUUGGAUAAUAAUUAGGCAGCAUCAAAAGGGGUUCUCUUGUUUGGAAAAGAAGAAAAUUAAGAGAAAGAAAGAUGAAGUAUGUUUUGGUGACAGGUGGAGUGGUGAGCGGUUUGGGGAAAGGAGUCACUGCUAGCAGUAUUGGCCUUAUUCUCAAAUCCUGCGGUCUUCGUAUUACUUCCAUUAAAAUUGGUCUCUAUUUUUUCUCUGGCUCUGGUUUCAUCUACUUUUACAGUCUAUUAGUCAUUUGGAAUUUUGAUUUUCUUGGCAUUUGCCUUGUAUGUUCUUCUAAUCCAUUUCCUAGCUAUAGGAGUAGCUUGAAUCGCCUUAUGUUAGCUUUCUCUGUUUUGGGUCUUUUGGGUUUUACUUCCAAUAGAAUAAAAGAUGAAGAAAGGUAUUGCCUUUUUGUGUCUUGAAAUCUAAUUAUUUCCAUUUCUUCUGAAGGAAUUAUUAACAUUUGGCAAAAUAUGGCCUGAUGUUACUCUUAAAAGUUUGUCCAAAAGUAAAGUAAUUUUUCUUCAGUAGACUUUUAAAAAUCAGCUUCAUUUUAAUCAUAUUCUUUAUUUUUGAUUGACAAGGUUGCUAACCAGCUGCUUUUAUUUGAUUUAUUGAUAAAUUUUGUUGUAGAGAACUGAUAGGUAUGGAUUUUUCGAGAAGGGUUCUUUAAAAAGUGCAUAA